RNAcentral lists this long non-coding RNA (311 nucleotides) under Ictidomys tridecemlineatus (thirteen-lined ground squirrel). RNAcentral describes it as "lncRNA (ENSSTOG00000032347.1)". Lineage: Eukaryota; Metazoa; Chordata; Mammalia; Rodentia; Sciuridae. The record is from RNAcentral.
GAAGAACAGUCUUCAUUUUAUUAUAACCUUGUUGUUCUAACCUCUCAGGAAUAUCCCUGCUGCCACAGUCCACUGAAAAUGAAAAAUUUCAAUCAACCAAAAGGGUCUUGGUGAUAAGAUCUUACACAACCACUCUGAAUAAUCCUUUCACUGGACUGAUAGUUGUUUGAGCUGUUAUAGGCCCGACUUGUACCAUGUCUGCAAAAGCCCUCCAACACCACAAACAGCAGGACAUUGGAAGUUCAUUCUCUGCAUGGAGUAACAAGUUGGAGGGACAUCAAUUCUGUAGAGAGCUGGGAAACCCUAUUUAA